GGCUGAUUAGGUAGUUGGCGGGGUAACGGCCCACCAAGCCGACGAUCAGUAACUGGUGUGAGAGCACGACCAGUCACACGGGCACUGAGACACGGGCCCGACUCCUACGGGAGGCAGCAGUAAGGAGUAUUGGUCAAUGGACGCAAGUCUGAACCAGCCAUGCCGCGUGGAGGAUGAAGGCCCUCUGGGUUGUAAACUUCUUUUAUUAGGGAAGAAACCGGUGUUUUCUAACGCCGUUGACGGUACCUGAUGAAUAAGCACCGGCUAACUCCGUGCCAGCAGCCGCGGUAAUACGGAGGGCGCAAGCGUUGUUCGGAAUCACUGGGCGUAAAGCGCGUGUAGGCGGCUUGGCAAGUCGGGUGUGAAAGCCCGGAGCUCAACUCCGGAACUGCACUCGAAACUGCCUCGCUCGAGUCCCGGAGAGGGUGGUGGAAUUCCCGGUGUAGAGGUGAAAUUCGUAGAUAUCGGGAGGAACACCAGUGGCGAAGGCGGCCACCUGGACGGUGACUGACGCUGAGACGCGAAAGCGUGGGGAGCA
RNAcentral lists this ribosomal RNA (538 nucleotides) under uncultured bacterium. RNAcentral describes it as "bacterial SSU rRNA". It matches the Rfam family "Bacterial small subunit ribosomal RNA", at positions 235 to 770 of the family's 1533-position model. The record is from RNAcentral.